Mauremys mutica (yellowpond turtle) is the source of this 358-nucleotide long non-coding RNA. RefSeq lists it as uncharacterized. NCBI's taxonomy places the organism in Eukaryota, Metazoa, Chordata, Testudines, Geoemydidae. The transcript is spliced from 3 exons. The record is from RefSeq and is a predicted model, not a curated record.
ACAAGCCCUGAUGGGGGCCUUUAGGCACUACUCUGAUACAAACAACAACAACGACCGCUCUAUAGGGCAAAGCAGAAGAUGACAGCUGAGAUAAAUGGAGAAGAUCCCUAGUAAGCUAUAGUUAUAUCUUCUACAUCAGCAAAGGAGUGAAAUCCUAUUCCAGAAAGAACACAUGGCUCAAGAUCGCAAUAUAUGUUUACUGGAUGUCUCCUCCAUCCCCACCCAAAAGACAAGGGAUUUGCUGUGGUUUGGCAAGUAAGAGAAGACCCAAACGGACAAAAAGAGGAAGUUGACUGACUACAUUGAAACUCAUUUCACAAACUGCUGUCCAAUGCACAAAGUAAAAUUGAAAAACCAA